GACGAACGCUGGCGGCGUGCUUAACACAUGCAAGUCGAACGGAAAGGCCCUGCUUUUGUGGGGUGCUCGAGUGGCGAACGGGUGAGUAACACGUGAGUAACCUGCCCUUGACUUUGGGAUAACUUCAGGAAACUGGGGCUAAUACCGGAUAGGAGCUCCUGCUGCAUGGUGGGGGUUGGAAAGUUUCGGCGGUUGGGGAUGGACUCGCGGCUUAUCAGCUUGUUGGUGGGGUAGUGGCUUACCAAGGCUUUGACGGGUAGCCGGCCUGAGAGGGUGACCGGCCACAUUGGGACUGAGAUACGGACCAGACUCCUACGGGAGGCAGCAGUGGGGAAUAUUGUACAAUGGGCGGAAGCCUGAUGCAGCAACGCCGCGUGCGGGAUGACGGCCUUCGGGUUGUAAACCGCUUUCGCCUGUGACGAAGCGUGAGUGACGGUAAUGGGUAAAGAAGCACCGGCUAACUACGUG
RNAcentral lists this ribosomal RNA (468 nucleotides) under uncultured bacterium. RNAcentral's name for it is "partial 16S ribosomal RNA". It matches the Rfam family "Bacterial small subunit ribosomal RNA", at positions 28 to 507 of the family's 1533-position model. The record is from RNAcentral.